UUAACUCAAAUUUGUAUGGAGUUGGAACGUUUGCCUACGUUUGCCGCUAGGGGCGCUGUUCCAACUGCAUAUAAAUUUGAGUUA
RNAcentral lists this microRNA precursor (84 nucleotides) under Bombyx mori (domestic silkworm). Its description in RNAcentral is "mir-2807 microRNA precursor family". It matches the Rfam family "mir-2807 microRNA precursor family". The record is from Rfam by way of RNAcentral. Lineage: Eukaryota; Metazoa; Arthropoda; Insecta; Lepidoptera; Bombycidae.